AGAGGAUAGAAUAUAUUUUAUGUAAUGUUUUAAUGACUCUAUAUGUUUUAAGUAUCGAGACACAUGGAGCUCAUGACCCACUAGUGUACAUACAGAGUAAGUUAAGUUUCAACAGAAAAUUUAUAGACUAGAGAGUAAAUUGAACUGACAAAGAAGAACUGAACUGAGAACAAGUUCGAUG
Molecule: long non-coding RNA, 181 nt
Filed under: Mustela putorius furo (domestic ferret)
Lineage: Eukaryota; Metazoa; Chordata; Mammalia; Carnivora; Mustelidae
Description: lncRNA (ENSMPUG00000025414.1)
Source: RNAcentral